AGUGAACGCUGGCGGCAGGCCUAAUACAUGCAAGUCGAACGGCAGCACAGUGGAGCUUGCUCCAUGGGUGGCGAGUGGCGGACGGGUGAGGAAUACAUGGGAAUCUGCCCAGUCGUGGGGAUAACGUAUGGAAACGUACGCUAAUACCGCAUGCGCCCUUCGGGGGAAAGUCGGGGACCGCAAGGCCUGACGCGAUUGGAUGAGCCCAUGUUCGAUUAGCUAGUUGGCGGGGUAACGGCCCACCAAGGCGACGAUCGAUAGCUGGUCUGAGAGGAUGAUCAGCCACACUGGAACUGAGACACGGUCCAGACUCCUACGGGAGGCAGCAGU
This 330-nucleotide ribosomal RNA is filed under the name uncultured bacterium. RNAcentral describes it as "bacterial SSU rRNA". It matches the Rfam family "Bacterial small subunit ribosomal RNA", at positions 29 to 355 of the family's 1533-position model. The record is from RNAcentral.